CUUGUCUCGCAUCUCUCUCUCUCUCUCUGUCUCUCUCUUUAAAUCUCCAGUCUUCUCCCCUUAAGAUUGACUGCACAUCUUCUCCCUCAUUUCUCACUCUCUCUUUAGUUGCGGCAAAGGUUUCCAGAUCUCUUUCAUCUUCUCACCUUAAGAAAAGGUAAAAGGGGGAAAAAGAGAGCUCGUUCUGGAUGUAGAUCUUGCAUCGAUGGACCAAUCUGUGGGAAAAAGGUAGGGUUUUCUCGGUUGCUUCUAUAUCUCUGCGCGUUAGGGUUUUCUUUCAAUUAGCUGAGGAAAUGGCGACUGCGAACCCUUUCGAUCUGUUGGGAGAUGACGAUAAUGACGAUCUGUCGCAGCUGAUAGCUACUCAGCAGCAACAGAAAGCAGCACCGAAGAAAGCCCUAGCUCCAACGCAAGCUGCUUCUCAGAAUUUUCUGGAUUUUCUGGAGGCGAUGUGAUGAAUAAUGUGGUAGCUCCUUCCAUUGAAGAUCCAGCAAUUAUCUCGUUAAAACAGGCAGUAGAAGGUCUUGACAACCUUGACCAGUCUGCAGAAAUCUUGAUCCGUUUUCUCUGUGCUGUUCCUGGAUGGGGUGAGAAAAAUGUUUAGGUUCAACAACAGGUUAUAGAGAUCAUUACUCAUAUAGCUUCUACAGUCCAAAAGUUCCCAAAAAGAUGUGUGGUGCUCUGCAUUCUGGGUGGGUAUUAGGUUAUAGUUGUAAAUUUUUUUUUUUUUUUUUUUUUUUUUUCAUUCUAUAAAAGUUUUAAUCGUGUUAGAUAUGUUUGAUAUGACUGUUAUUCUCUGCAAGUUAACUAAUGUCACCAGCUAUGCCUUCUGGAAAAACUGAAAGAAGUUAAAAUU
This is a long non-coding RNA of Magnolia sinica, 856 nucleotides long. RefSeq lists it as uncharacterized. The transcript has 3 exons. The record is from RefSeq and is a predicted model, not a curated record. NCBI's taxonomy places the organism in Eukaryota, Viridiplantae, Streptophyta, Magnoliopsida, Magnoliales, Magnoliaceae.